Molecule: ribosomal RNA, 32 nt
Filed under: Sinocyclocheilus rhinocerous
Lineage: Eukaryota; Metazoa; Chordata; Actinopteri; Cypriniformes; Cyprinidae
Source: RNAcentral
GCGCCCGAUCUCGUCUGAUCUCGGAAGCGUAG